RNAcentral lists this ribosomal RNA (2009 nucleotides) under Margattea angusta. Its description in RNAcentral is "SSU rRNA". It matches the Rfam family "Eukaryotic small subunit ribosomal RNA". The record is from RNAcentral. Lineage: Eukaryota; Metazoa; Arthropoda; Insecta; Blattodea; Pseudophyllodromiidae.
GCUCCCUGGUCGAUCCUGCCAGUAGUCAUAUGCUUGUCUCAAAGAUUAAGCCAUGCAAGUCUAAGUACGAGCUUGAACAAAGUGAAACCGCGAAUGUCUCAGUAUAUCAGUCAUGGUUGAUUGGACGAUAAACGGUUACUUGGAUAACUGUGGCAAUUCUAGAGCUAAUACAUGCAAUCAAGUCCCGACCGGAGACGGAAAGGACGCACUUAUUAGAUCAAAGCCGACCGGGCGGAGGGUCCCCGAGUGUACCCACUGCGGCACUCGCCCCUCCUGUCCCGCUUGCGUUCUUGGUGACUCUGAAUAAUUGUGGAUCGCACGGCCCACGAGCCGGCGACGUGUCUUUCAAAUGUCUGACCCAUCAACUGUCGAUGGUAGGUUCUGCGCCUACCAUGGUAGUGACGGGUGACGGGGAAUCAGGGUUCGAUUCCGGAGAGGGAGCCUGAGAAACGGCUACCACAUCCAAGGAAGGUAGCUGGCACGCAAAUUACCCACUCCCGGCACGGGGAGGUAGUGACGAAAAAUAACGAUACGGGACUCAUCCGAGGCCCCGUAAUCGGAAUGAGGACACUUUAAAUCCUUUAUCGAGUAUCCAUUGGAGGGCAAGUCUGGUGCCAGCAGCUGCGGUAAUUCCAGCUCCAAUAGCGUAUAUUAAAGUUGUUGCGGUUAAAAAGCUCGUAGUCGGACUUGUGUCCCGCCGUGUCGGUACACCGCACGUCGGUGUCUAACUGGCAUGCAGGCGAGGACGUCCUGACGGUGGUCGCGCCCGCCCGGGUUGCGCACGUCGACUCUUUAACCCCUUUAGCGCGGGUCGCACGACUUCCGUUGCGAAGGGAAAAGAGCGGCAGCGUUUCUCCGGAGCGGCCGGCCUGGUCUCCGCAUCCUCUCGAGGUGCUCUUGACCGAGUGUCUAGAGGGGCCGUCACGUUUACUUUGAACAAAUUAGAGUGCUCAAAGCAGGCUUACAACACGCCUGGAUACCAGUGCAUGGAAUAAUGGAAAAGGACCUCGGUUCUAUUUUGUUGGUUUUCUGAAUCCCCGAGGUAAUGAUCAAUAGGAACAGACGGGGGCAUUCGUAUUGCGACGUUAGAGGUGAAAUUCUUGGAUCGUCGCAAGACGCACAGAAGCGAAAGCAUUUGCCAAGCAUGUUUUCUCUGAUCAAGAACGAAAGUCAGAGGUUCGAAGGCGAUCAGAUACCGCCCUAGUUCUGACCAUAAACGAUGCCAGCCAGCAAUCCGCCGAAGUUCCUCCGAUGACUCGGCGGGCGGCUUCCGGGAAACCAAAGCUUACGGGUUCCGGGGGAAGUAUGGUUGCAAAGCUGAAACUUAAAGGAAUUGACGGAAGGGCACCACCAGGAGUGGAGCCUGCGGCUUAAUUUGACUCAACACGGGAAAACUCACCAAGCCCUGACACCGGAAUGAUUGACAGAUUGAGAGCUCUUUCUUGAUUCGGUGGGUGGUGGUGCAUGGCCGUUCUUAGUUCGUGGGACGACUUGUCUGGUUAAUUCCGUUAACGAACGAGACUCUAACCUGCUAAAUAGUCGAUGACUGGCAUCCUUCGCGCUGCCGGCGAGGAUGAAAUCUUCUUAGAGGGACAAGCGGCGUCCAGCCGCGCUACAAAGAGCAAUAACAGGUCUGUGAUGCCCUUAGAUGUCUUGGGCUGCACGCGCGCUACACUGAAGGAACCAGCGUGUCUUCCCUGGCCGAAAGGUCCGGGCAACCCGUUGAACCUCCUUCGUGAUAGGGAUUGGGGCUUGCAAUUGUUCCCCAUGAACGAGGAAUUCCCAGUAGGCGCGAGUCAUAAGCUCGCGUCGAUUAAGUCCCUGCCCUUUGUACACACCGCCCGUCGCUACUACCGAUUGAAUGGUUUAGUGAGGCCUUCGGACCGGCGAACGCAGGCGUGCCUACGGGCCCGUCGCGACUCUGUCGGAAAGAUGGCCGAACUUGCCCAUUUAGAGGAAGUAAAAGUCGUAACAAGGUUGCCGUAGGUGAACCUGCGGCAGGACCAUUA